UGAACGCUGGCGGCGUGCCUAAUACAUGCAAAUCGAGCGAACAGACGAGGAGCUUGCUCCUCUGACGUUAGCGGCGGACGGGUGAGUAACACGUGGAUAACCUACCUAUAAGACUGGGAUAACUUCGGGAAACCGGAGCUAAUACCGGAUAAUAUAUUGAACCGCAUGGUUCAAUAGUGAAAGACGGUUUUGCUGUCACUUAUAGAUGGAUCCGCGCCGCAUUAGCUAGUUGGUAAGGUAACGGCUUACCAAGGCAACGAUGCGUAGCCGACCUGAGAGGGUGAUCGGCCACACUGGAACUGAGACACGGUCCAGACUCCUACGGGAGGCAGCAGUAGGGAAUCUUCCGCAAUGGGCGAAAGCCUGACGGAGCAACGCCGCGUGAGUGAUGAAGGUCUUCGGAUCGUAAAACUCUGUUAUUAGGGAAGAACAAAUGUGUAAGUAACUAUGCACGUCUUGACGGUACCUAAUCAGAAAGCCACGGCUAACUACGUG
Molecule: ribosomal RNA, 495 nt
Filed under: uncultured bacterium
Lineage: Bacteria
Description: partial 16S ribosomal RNA
Rfam family: Bacterial small subunit ribosomal RNA
Source: RNAcentral